This 68-nucleotide transfer RNA is filed under the name Marmota marmota marmota (Alpine marmot). It matches the Rfam family "tRNA". From Rfam's summary of the family: Transfer RNA (tRNA) molecules are approximately 80 nucleotides in length. RNAcentral also lists the same sequence under 3 other names. The record is from Rfam by way of RNAcentral. Lineage: Eukaryota; Metazoa; Chordata; Mammalia; Rodentia; Sciuridae.
GUGGUGGCUCAGAGGUAGAGUGCUUGCCUGGCACGUGUGAGGCCCUGGGUUCAAUUCUCAGCACCACA